This 1028-nucleotide long non-coding RNA is filed under the name Equus asinus (donkey). RNAcentral describes it as "lncRNA (ENSEASG00005037386.1)". The record is from RNAcentral. Lineage: Eukaryota; Metazoa; Chordata; Mammalia; Perissodactyla; Equidae.
AUGAGCUCCUGGAGCCAUUUGCUUUGAAAUGUGCACAUUUCACAGGCGGCUGCCUGCCAAUGAGACAACUCUAAGCAGGACCAAGAAAAAGGAAAAGAGAGAGAUGCCGGAGAUUUCCCUGACAUACGCAAAAGAAAGGAAACCGGAAAGGCCCAGAGUGCUGAUGGAGUAAGUGAAGGCAGAGCCUUGAGGAAAUUUUUUUCUCGGCUCUUCAUCAUGAAGACCUCGGGAGAUUUCUGGAGGUAAAACCUGUGGAAAUAUGGAGGCACCUCUAAGACUGUUGUCCCCAGGAGUUUCUCAUUCUCACACUAGAUGACACUCAGCCUCCAUCAGCUCACCAAAAUUACCAUUUAGUUGCUUCUAUCAGUUGUGGCUGCACAGGUUUGUGCUCCAGCAGGUGCCUGGAACCUGCUAUUUUGAGGACCUCAAGAAGAGAGGAAUCUACCAAAAUCUGUAGAACUAAAACUGACCUUUUUCCUGAAUCCCUCCAAACUGAAGCUGGACAACUUGAUAUAAACUUAAGAGAGAUUCAUGUCUGUUGCUGUGUAAGCCACUCAGGAAGAUACCUGAACACCCAGUGACCUCAGAGACAUUUCAAACUGCCAAAGAUGCUUUGACUCUGACAUCUAGAGAUCUUUUUGGCUGGCUGCCCCCUUGGCUCAGAAAGUGGAAUGUGAUGAUCCCAGACAGAGAGUCUAUGCUGAUAACCAUCAUUGAAUGACAACUGAAAGAUCUGGUGUGGUGACUCCUAGUCUGUAACACGAGAAAGUCAACAUUCCUGACUCCCUCCCCUAAAACCCACUGGCCUAUAUAACUGCUUCAAGAUUCUUGUGCCCUCCUUAAGAUGGUUCUUUAGGACACUAUUCCUCCCAUCUUCCAAUUUGCUAGCAUAUUGCUUAAUAAAAUGCCCUUUUUCUGCCACGAUCUUGCCUCUUGACAAUUGGCUUUUGUCUUGUGGCAAGUAGAUUGUGCCAUUUGUGCAGUAAUGUACACACAAUAUUUCUAAGUGUUGGUAUGAAAAAAGAAUG